AAUUUCCAUGCUCCGAUACACCAAAGCUGCACCAAAUCCUUAACGGCUUUAUUUGUUCUCAGAACCUUUUUCUUUUUCUACUUCAGGUUAAGAAGUAUAUGUUGAAAGCUAUGCAAGCAACAAUGUACCCAAACUGAACAUCCUGUACUUUCAAAGGAUAUCUCGGGUCUUCACCCCAAAUUCAUGCAAUCUCCCAAACUAACACAUCAAAAACAAAAAGGAAACAACAACUUUCUACAUAAGCCAAAAUGUAUCUAAAUUUCUCAACUGAAUUGAAAAUGGGAGACUGGGUGGAAGCAAGAUUUCCCUUUUCACUAUCCACCUAGUCAUCCAUUUCUACCCUCAUAGUUAUUUAAGUCCUAUAGCAUUCCAUUAACUGUGUUCUCCCCAAUGCCAACAAGACUUUUGGUACACAGUAGGUGUUCAAUAAAUAUUAGCAGUGUAUGAAUGGAUGGUUUGUUUUG
This 464-nucleotide long non-coding RNA is filed under the name Marmota monax (woodchuck). The record is from RNAcentral. Lineage: Eukaryota; Metazoa; Chordata; Mammalia; Rodentia; Sciuridae.